GGUAGGGUGGCUGAGAGCGCAAGCGGUGGGUUGUAGCCCCAUAGACGGAGGUUUGAGUCCUUCCCUUAUCA
RNAcentral lists this transfer RNA (71 nucleotides) under Gigantura indica (telescopefish). RNAcentral describes it as "tRNA-Tyr". It matches the Rfam family "tRNA". From Rfam's summary of the family: Transfer RNA (tRNA) molecules are approximately 80 nucleotides in length. Their secondary structure includes four short double-helical elements and three loops (D, anti-codon, and T loops). Lineage: Eukaryota; Metazoa; Chordata; Actinopteri; Aulopiformes; Giganturidae. The record is from RNAcentral.